This is a long non-coding RNA of Dermacentor silvarum, 907 nucleotides long. RefSeq lists it as uncharacterized. The transcript has 2 exons. The record is from RefSeq and is a predicted model, not a curated record. NCBI's taxonomy places the organism in Eukaryota, Metazoa, Arthropoda, Arachnida, Ixodida, Ixodidae.
UAUUUGCUUGAAAUCUCUUCCUGCUGUGUAUGGUUGAAGCAAACAAAUUUUAUUUGUUCCGUGGCAUUGUAAAUGUUGUAUAUGUGGUGUAAGUGAAGGAUGAACCUGAUGUUAAGAUUGUGCAGGUUCUUUCUCUUAAAGUUGUCUCGUAAAUAAAACGAUAGGUAAUCCAAUUAAUAUGUUCUUGUCACAGGGAGGCAUCAUGACUUCCCACCAACAGUCAAGCACAAAGAGUUGCAGCAGUGCCAAUUCUACCAUUGUGACAGUUGCAACUACAAGACUGCCAGGUUGUCCGCUCUCGUUGUACACAAGUGCAGACGCAUAGAAUCAAGGCCUUCUAUUUCUUCAUCAACAGCCGAGGGUGAGAAAUCACACCAGAGACACCUCUACAGCUGUCAAUUCUGUGACCAUCACACUAAUAACCUGCGAGAUCUUGAAAAACACACCACGGUUCAUACUGGCAAGCGACUAUUUAAAUGCCAUUUCUGCCCUCAUAGCUUCUCACAAAAGACCGAUUUGAACAAGCACCUGCGCAUCCACACGGGUGAGCGUCCGUUUAAAUGCCAUUUCUGCCCUCGGAGCUUCUCACAAGGACCCACCCUGAAACGACACCUGCGCACCCACACAGGCGAGAAGCCAUUUCAGUGCCCUUCAUGCACUCGGGGAUUCUCGCAGAAACAUUCCAUGAAGCGACACCUGCGCAUUCAUACAAGUGACCGACCACACCGCGGCACCAUCCGCACUAUGUCUUUUGUGCAGGCUGAUUACUUGAGUGAACAUAAAGAAAGAAAGCACCCCGAGACUGUAGAUUAGGUCAACAGCCAUGUUGAACUAGCCUGAAUUAGGCUAUAUGAACAGGUGUACUACCUAUAUUUCGAUUGCAAUAAAACCUCGUUAAUUCAGAGAA